CUGCGGACCCCCAGGGUCUGCGCUUGGCUUUCCAGAGCCCUCUGUGCCUGAGCCUGCAGCUCUGUACCCGGGACCUGGCCUGCCAGCGGGCGCACCGUCUCUGCAGGAAAGCGAGCACCUGCCCCAGGAGGCCGGAAGCCAGGACCCAGGUGGGUCUCUGCCGCGACGCCAUCCCCAGAGGCCUGGACUGGGUUUGGUGUCCAAGGAGGUGAUUGGCAGGAGGGCCUUAAGUCAUUUGCGCUUGAAACGAGUUGUAUCGCUUACUGUCUGCUAAGGGUUCUGGAAGUUCUAGGCGGAACGGCUGAUCGAGAUCCACACUAGUGUCCCUUGUGACUUGGCUGUUGGUUAGGACGCAGAGUGUAAGCGGGUGUCCCGGUGUGGCGAGCCGGCCUUGAGGUGCGCCCGGGCUGGGACCUGCUCUGCGCUCCGACGUGGUUCUCGUGCUGUGUACUCGGGCACAGUACGGUGUAGACCCGUCUUUGAAGAUGAAGCCAUUUCGAGACCAUUUCCGGUCUCGGGCCCUGAGGCGCGUCGCGAAGCUGCCACCGUGGCUCUCUCUUCCGUUGACAGGGCUGAUGCCACAGGAGGCGCUUGGGAGAAACUCGCUUCCGGAACGGAGAGAAGAUGGUUUUGGCGGAAAAUUUGCUCAUCUGGUACUCUCCCGCUUUUUUGUUUUUAAGCUAUUCGUUUUCCAUAAGCUGCGUUGAUUAGGAGCCCAGACUUGUCGCUCUUUAGUCUUUUUUUUUUUUUUUUAAUUUUUUUUUUUCUUCAACGUUUAUUUAUUUUUGGGACAGAGAGAGACAGAGCAUGAACGGGGGAGGGGCAGAGAGAGAGGGAGACACAGAAUCGGAAACAGGCUCCAGGCUCUGAGCAGUCAGCACAGAGCCCGACGCGGGGCUCGAACUCACGGACCGCGAGAUCGUGACCUGGCUGAAGUCGGACGCUUAACCGACUGCGCCACCCAGGCGCCCCUCUUUAGUCUUAAGUAGAAAGAUAGUAGUGAAACUUAGGAAGUUAUCCUUUAAAUUGCUUCUCAGUGGGAAAGCUCCUCUGAAAUAACUUGGAUCCUCACCAGCCGGAGUUGAGGAAAAGCGUUAUGGAGGAAAACGCUCGUUUACUAGUGUGGCGUGGGGAUCGUUCCUUCAUGGAGAGGAAGUGGUCGUUUGUAAUGAAACUGCAUUGCUAACUUUGACUUUUCUAAAUUGGAGAGCCCUACCCACUCUCUGCACCUCACUUUCUGCAGUAGAAUCCCUAAAAAUCUCACCGGUUUCUUGAAAUCAAGAUAUCGUUUUAUCAGACGUGUCUGGUGUAAACACCACCUCUGUUUGCUCUCGCCUCAGCGCGGGGGUUGGGGGGGGAACAAACGCUUUCCUACACGCUGUUCCACAGCCUUCUGUACAGAGAGCAGGCCUCUGUGGGCAUGCGGUCAUCGUCUAAACUUUUGUUACACGUUCCUCCGCAAGAGUACUCUGUUUUCGUGUAAAAUGACAGUUGCUAAUUUUGAAAAUGGGGUCUUCGCUCGGCGAGAAGUAUUUUCUAAACAAAUAAGCCUAUCUCUUAAAACGCCCCCUGCUCCACUGUGCCCAGUCCCUUCCCUCUUCCUUGCAGCCCGGCAGUGCCCCCUGAGCUCCCGAACCCCCUUCCGGCUCCUGCAGUGCGCCUCGACAGACCGGCUGGCUAACUGCAGGCUGGGGGGCGGGGGCAGCUGUGUCCCCCCCCCCCCCCCCACUCUGCCCUCCUCACGAGUCAUAAGGCCUCUGCUGUGGUGCCCUGGGUGAACCUCCUCCCCUGUUGCCUCGGAACAGGGCCCCUCCAGGACGUCCCAGGACUCCGAGGUCCCUCCGGCGUGGGAGCGUGCUGGCCCCGGAGCCCUGCAGCCGCCUCUCACGUCCACGCCCGAAGGGAAGAGGCCUGCACAGGCGGCCGGGAAAGAGGUCAAGGAGCCUAAGAAGGUAGCACACGGCGCACCUCCGGCGGGGCGGGGGCUCCCACAGGCCCUUCCUCACGCCCCGGCGCUGGGGGCCGGGCCCCAGGCCACCGUUCUUUCGUCACUUGGGCCGCACGGUUUGGGAAGUGUCCUAGGGGCGUGUGAAACGUGAAGCUUCGUGAACGUUCGUGCAUCUGUGUCCCCAAACGGGCACGGCCCGAGUGCGGUUGGAGCAGCGCAGCCCUCCCAGAGGCCCCCUGUGUUCACGGCCUGUCACAGCCCAGCCCCCAAGGGUGGCCUCUUCUGACUUCUGUCACCAUUGGCUGGUGUCUCCUGUUCUGGGACUUCUUACAAAGGAGACUGAUGUUUAAACACCCUUGUGUGGGAACAUCGAGGGAGGGUCCGCAGAUGCUACAAUUGUAUUUAUCUUUCGUCCUGGGUAAUGAACACAGACAGGCUGGUUAUGGAAAAGCCACACGAGCGGUUCUGGUCUGUCUGCCGUUGGCGAAAGUGCUCAUUUCUCUUGGGGGUCCAGCCUGGGAAGGGGCCGCCGGGCAGCUUGGCCCGGGUGACCCUUCCCGCAGCACAGCCAGGGAGGUGGCGCUCCUUCCGCGCGCCGGGCCGUCCCGCCCACCGAAGCCUCUGCCGGGCUCCGUGCUGCCCCCUGGUGCUUUCAGUUCGCGUCCCUGGGGGGCAAGGGUGCUGAGCACCUUCUUCACACGCCCGUUACUACCUCCGUCGUCGGCUUCGUGGUGCUGGCCUGUGUCUUCUCCUGCUUUUAAUCGGGUCCUUUUCCACCGUGGCCACCAGUCCCCUGUUAGAUGCACGUGCCCCACGUCCUCUUCUACACUGUGGGUCGGGUCCUUACGCUUCGUGUUAGUUAGCUCAUGAGGAACGUGUUCUUUUCUCUUUUUUAAAGUAAUCACACCCACCGUGGGGCUCGAACUCACAGCUCUGAGACCAAGAGACCGAGAGUCAUGCGCUCCACCAACUGACCCAGCCAAGUGCCCUUCCCCGCCUUUUUUUAAGUAGAUUAUCGCUUCUUAAUAUGGUUCAGUUUAUCGGUUUUUUUAAAUGGCUGGUAUUUUACUGAAACACAAGUGUGAUCCAGAGUGUGCCGGAACCGUGAGCUGGGACGUGAUGCUUCAGCGAGGCGGGAGCGUGCAGACCCGUGUCGCCCAGAGCGACGGGUUUGAGAGCACACACAGCCGCUGCGGCUCCUUCCCUGUUUGCUUGUUCUAGAAGAAGCGAAGUACGGUACGCGAGGAGUGAAGUCAGCGUUCCUGACACCUAAAUUCUCUCAGGGCGAGACAUGGGGGACUGUUUUGAGGGGGUCCAACGAGGACUUUCCCAGCCUUCUUGCCACUGCUCAGUCAGGGAGGGAAGAUGCCAGAGGCUGCCAUCAGUUGGCAUUAGACAGGAAAAGUUCCAAAAGGCAGAUUGUUCAGGUUUUUAAAUUGUGGUAAGAUACACGCAGUGUAAAAGUGACCACUUUAACCCUGUUUUGAGGGCAUAGUUUGGGGCCGUCAGGCUCAUUCACGCUGUUGUGCCGCCGCCCCCCCCCCCCCCCCCAUCCGUCCCCAACGUGUCCGUCUUUCCAGACUGCACUCUGUCCCAUUGCACACGGCUCCCCCCCCUCCCCCCCCGCCCUUGUCCGCGGAUCCGACUCUGCUCGGACCUCCUGUGACUGGACCCUUCAGGACUGGGCCUUCCGUGUGGGGCUCCCCUCACCCAGCACCACGUCCUCCAGGGUGUUGUGGUUGUUUCUGUAUUUAGAGCAGCGAGUCCUGGUUAUUUCGUUGGCUGCCCGGGAAGAAAAGGACGGAGGCUUAUCUGCCCGACGACAAGAACAAGUCGGUGAGUGCUGUAGGACGUGGGGCCGGCGGGGCCUGUGGCUUCACGUGACGUGGCCGGCGGUGGUUCGCACAGUGCUCCCCGGCUACGGGCACAGCUGGGUGGGCGUCUCCUGAGUGUGCAGCGUCACACGGGGCCGCGCUCCAGGUCUGUUCCGCUGAGUCUCCGGACUUCUCUCUUUAUUUUCAUGACGGUGGCAGAUCGUCUGGGAUGAAAAGAAAAACCGAUGGGUAGAUGUAAAUGAGCCAGAGGAGGAGGUGAGUUGGAAUUCCUAGCGUCUGCUUGGCGGGAGGAGUGCUCCCUGCCACGUGGCCGUGGGCGCCUGCGAGGCCCCCGUCCGCGCCCGGUGGCCGCGGGUCCAUGGGCAGGUCUCUGAAGCGUCUUUCCCUCUGCAGAAGAAGGCUCCGCCCCCACCACCAACCUCCCUCCCCAAGGCUGCACAGGCUGGGCCCCCUGGUCCCGGCGGACCCCCGAGAGCCUCCGUGAACAUGUUUUCCAGGAAAGCAGGUAACAGUCGAGGCAGAAAUUAGACUCGGAGAACUCGUCUGUGGUACGGGCUCAGGAGAGUUGAGGGGAGGUGGUGGAGUGCGCAGGAGGGACGGCAGCGUCACGGGGUGACCCCGCAGAGAGAGACGCCCGUCUCGGGAGCACGAGGGCCCCCGCUCAGAGGCGGCGCGGCGCUGGCGGCUUCGGGGUGUGUGCGAGACGGGGGGCGUCGCCCCUGGGGAAGCCAGCCCUGUGCCACGUGGGGAGCCGCGACCGGGGGGGGGGGGGGGGGGGGGGGGGGGGGCGGGGGAGCGGGGCCCUGCGGCGCGCUGACCUGGAUUUGCCUCUCGCCCUGACGCAGCCGGAGCCCGAGCGCGCUACGUGGACGUCUUAAACCCGGGGGGCCCCCAGCGGAGUGAACCGGCUCUCGCCCCGGCGGAGUUUUUUGCUCCUCUGGCCCCGAUGCCGAUUCCCACCCACUUGUUCGGACCAAACGCAGGUAGGGGGGAUGGGACCUCCUGACCUGUGACCUCCUUUCUGAGAGCCCCCGGCCCUCACCUCCCUUUAAGAAAAAUGACCCGGCUGACGUGCGGGGAGCCUGCGGUCCAUCCGUGUUUGUUCACGGAUACCGUUCCGGGUCCCCCACAAGUGCACUGCGGGAAACCUUUCCCCUGGAGACUGUUCUAAAUGAAACCCCGACGGUGUUGCGGAUGGACUGACAGCCUCCCGCACUGUCCCCUUCACAGAUGCGGAGGAGGCCCCACCCGCAGAGGGGGCCGGCAGGGAAGGGCGUGCGCCUGCGGGGGGGGCCGUCAAUCCAGAGCCUGCCUCAGAGCCCCAGGUGAGCCCCCCGCGUGAGCCCCCAGGCGAGUGGUGCCGCGGGGACGGGCGGCGGGGGCAGGGAGGACUUGGCCCGUGCCGCUGCCUGGGAAGGUCGGCCUGCUGUUUGCAUCAUUCCCAUCAUGCACCCAGAGAAGACAGUUUCCACGGAAGUCUCUCCCCUGAGCGCCUCUAGAGAUGGAGAUCGUAACCAUGUGGUGCACGUGGUAUGGUGGCCUUGGCUUCCUGAACCCACAGUCAUAAAGAGACUGUUUUUUUAAAUUUUUACAACUUGCACGUGAAAUAGGAUGGUUGGAGGUGGACAGAGUGGGUUUCAACCCUGGUUCCCUGUUAAUUAGCUACUUAGCAUUUAUUUUUAAAAGAGAAAUUGAAAAAACAGGUUUUUUUUCUAAUGUUUGUUCAGUUUUGAGAGACAGAGUGUGAGCAGGGGAGGGAUAGAGAGAGGGAGACACAGAAUCCAAAGAGGCUCCAGGCUCUGAGCUGUCAGCACGGAGCCCGACGCGGGUCUGGAACCCACGAACCGCAAGAUCGUGACCUGAGCCGAAGUCGGACACUUCACCGACUGAGCCACCCGGGCGCCCCAGCUACUUAACGUUUAAAGGAUCACGUGACAUCUCAAAGCCUCUGUUUCCUGUUCUAUGAAACGGAGUAACGAGGGCGCUUGCACACGAGGCCAUCAAGGGGCCCACGGCCCGAGUUCCCCAGAGAUAGGCUGUCGUGGGACCCGCAGCCGCUCGGAGGGGCGCUUACUCGGAGUGGAGCUGCGUGGGCCGGGGCCAGAGGGGGGUGUCGCGUCGGUCUGCCCCGUGUGAGGGCUUCACGGGAGUGAUGGCCACUGCGUUUCUUCUUUCCUGACAGGUGUUAGGUUUGCCAGCGUCGCUCCCCGGCCCUGAGCUCCCACCCGCCCACGAGGACGGUUCCAAGGGAGGAGAGGUAAGCCGCUCCCACGGGACGUACCUGCCCAGACACUGGGCUGGGGACAUCGCCCACUUGUACCGUCCAAGCGGCUUCUUCUUUAAAUGAGGAUGUUGACGAGUAGGAAGAGGCAAUCUAGCAGCUCUCUGGAACUUUAAAAGUGUUGUGGUCCCACAGCACAAGCAGCGACCCUUACGUCUGCAGGUUGUGUGGGAGCCGCGUGCAGAGCAGGGUGUGAGCGCACACGCCCCGGGCUCCCCUCACUCGGCACAGCAGCGCCGCGCUCACGCUUCUCUGGCAGCACGAGGGCAGGCCCCCUCGCCCCCAGCUGAUGCUUUUCCUUCCAAACGUGUUUUUCGUGUUUCUUGUUUAUUUUUGAGGGAGAGAGAGUGCGCAGACGGGGGGCAGAGAGGGAAACACGAUCCGAAGCGGGCUCCGGACUCCGAGCCGUCGGCACGGGGCCCGACGCGGGGCUCGAACCCACGAGCUGUGAGAUCGCGACCCGAGCCGAAGUCGGACGCUCAGCCGGCCGAGCCGCCCAGGUGCCCCCGUCUUAAUAAAAGCUGUACAUGGGGCGCCUGGGUGGCGCAGUCGGUUAAGCGUCCGACUUCAGCUCAGGUCACGAUCUCGCGGUCUGUGGGUUCGAGCCCCGCGUCGGGCUCUGGGCUGAUGGCUCGGAGCCUGGAGCCUGUUUCCGAUUCUGUGUCUCCCUCUCUCUCUGCCCCUCCCCUGUUCAUGCUCUGUCUCUCUCUGUCCCAAAAAUAAAUAAACGUUGAAAAAAAAAAAAAAAAUUUUUAAAAAAAUAAAAGCUGUACGUUAGGGGCGCCUGGCUGGCUCAGUCGGUUAAACGGCCGACUCUUGAUUUUGGUUCGGGUCACGAUCUCACGGUUCGGGAGUCCCGGCCCCGUGUCGGGCCCUGCGCCGACAGAGCCUGCUUGAGAUUCUCUCUCCGGCGGCCUCCGCCCCUCCCUGCGCUCUCUCUCUCUCUCUCAAAACCAGCAAAUAAACGUAAACGUUUUUUUAGUUAAAAAAACCCAACUGUCCCUCACAGCAGGAGUUUUAAACUAACUCUGGUGUCUCGCCCCCUUGGCCCGCGUCGAUUGUCACGGCAUCACAAGGCUCCGCGGGUGGAACUGGCCGCGUGGAGCAGGCGCGUGUCGAUUUCUCAUCUGUCCGUGUUGUGUGUGUUCUUGCUGUUUCGCAGCUUUCACGCUGUAGUUCACUGAGUUCAUUAUCGCGUGAAGUGAGCCAGCAUUUUUAUCAGGUACCUGUGGCUGGCAGUUCUCACUGAACACGAGUUGAACUGGGUCGCCUCCGCGGUUCCCUUAAGAGCGCUGUGCCGGCCUGCGUCGUGCCCCCGUCACUAACGCAGCCCGCCGCCUCCCCGCCCGCCGCGCGCCACAGGAUGCAGUGUUCCUUCCUUCCAGUGUCCUCGGGGGCGGUCUCGGGCCAUCCGCCUACACUGGCGACCGAGUCGACCCCAAAACGUUCCUAGGGGACGGAUGACUUUUGUGAUCUCGUUCUUUCCGGAUCGGUUUUUCCAAACGGCCGGCCGCAGGUGUAGCCUCACCGCGUGUGAGGGUGUUUCGGAAGCCCGCCUGGGUCCGGAGAAUUUUUGGUUUCUGGUCAAGCGCGGGACGUUUCUGGGCGGCCGGGCAGAGUGAGGCAGCGAGGCUGUCCUCGGCCGGGCGGGCUGGGACACGGGAAUACUUAAUCUUGUGUGUGGAUCGCACGACGGAGCUUUCCGGUUGCCUCGACGAAGGCUUCGUGUGACUUUAUUUGCUUAUUAAAACACUGGAUUCUGUAGCUGGACACUGGAGGUCUGAAGUGGUCAGAAACAUCUACUAACUGCUUCAAGGUGCCACUCCCGGGGGCCCCCCGGGGCCGGGCGCUCCCCGCUGCCGCAUGUUCUGCCUCGGAAGCAUCUCGCGCUGCAUGCCGCUCUAAUUUUUACGUGCGUUCUGUGAACCACUCGGUAACGCAGUCCAGUGUCACGAUAAGCGUCUUCGACUUGCUUCUGUGGCUUUCUUAGAAGUACUGUGAGCGGUCACCCAGCAGUGGCGUCUGUCCACAAGGGAGCGCACACCGCUGUGUGACAUUGCCGCGUUGAGAUGAACUCUCUGUGCUUCUCAGGCUCCCAGUGACCACCCCGCAGCAGGGGGCGCCUCCGGGGCAGCCGUGCCCUUCUACAGCCCUGCUCACUUUGCACAGGUAAGUGCCCUGCUGUCUCCUGGGGCACAGGGAUCCCCAGCCCGGCGCCCCGCUGUGUCCGCCGACCCUUCUCUCGUCCCUGCCGCUGCUCCUGGCGUGAACGCCCCCACCGUGCUGGGGCCUGCGGUCUCCCGCCGGGUCUCCCGCCGCCACACCUCACCGUGGGUCUCACUCCCUCCGCCAGGCCGGCCUUGGCCACCCUUCACCUGGCAGCCCACGGCCCGCAGUUGGGGAAUGCUCUUGAAUGUUUCUUUCUAUUUCUGUCUCUCUGCCUUCUCGCUCCUCCUUUUCCAGUCUCUUGCCCGUAGGGUGCAGCCCGGCUGCCAGCUGGGGGGGAGCUGAGCAGGGAGGGGCCGGGGCCGUGUCUCGACGUUCAGAGUAUAAAGCCUCCCACGACCCUGGUCGCCCUCACCGCCUGGGGUGGCCGGGCCUGUUCACUGUCAGCCGGGCGCUCGGCCAGCCUGCCACUCUCUGCUUCGACGUGCCCGCAGACGAGGCCGCCUCUCGGCCUCCUGCCCUGACCUCCAGGACUCCCGUGUCCCAGGUUACCACCUGGCCGUGCGUCUGCUUUUCCGUUUCAAGAUCUGGUGGCGGUUUUCCUCUCGUUCCCUCCGUCUCGCAGUGUGCGCUUUACAAGAGUUUAUCGAUGGCUCACUUCAGCGCGAGUAAAUGCCUGCGCUCCGUCCGCUGUCUGUCCCUGGGCGCUCCCCGCAACGCUGCAGUCGCGGGCUGGGCCGCCACCCUCCCCGGGUGCUCUGCCGCGGGGGCCAGCCUCCCUUCUCACCACCUGACGAAACUGCGGACCCCUUCAAAGCGGACGUCUAGGCCUGGUCCCCACUUGGCCAGUCGUCGGGGCUUCCGGAGAACACGCAGCCUGCCUGUUCUGUCGGUGGAAAUGGUCCCGCAGACCCAUCUCCCCGGCGCUGCCGGGGCGCCCCCGGCCUCGGAGGCUGGCGGGUGGAAGUCCGCACUCUUCCUUGUCUUUCCAGGCCUCUGCCGCCUCGGGGGGCUCCAGGAUGGGGAGGAUCGGCCAGAGGAAGUACCCGGCGUUGAGCUAGAAGGGUCCCCGUCCUGCAGUGGCAUCUGGAACCCUCAAAUUCUCCUCCACCGCCAACUCGGACGGAUCGAUGGCCCGCACCUCCCUUCCGUUCCCGCCCGGAUGGGGACGCCAGUGACUCCACGCGGUCGUGUUCGGACUCCUUCACGGCCCGUCUCCGCAGCGUUGCCGGGGCUGGGUCCGCGGCCCCUCUGCCGUGCUGGGGGAAGCGAGGGGAGCUUUGGCUCCGUCUCUAGCCGACGGUGACCCGAGGGUAAAACGCUCUUAGUCGUUCGGGAGCGGUGCGCCGAGGGAGGCCGGAGCCAUCUUUGCUGCGUGAAAAAACUCAGCCCUUCGGUAACUGGGGUGUCUCGGAAAACCUAACCGUGCUUUACUGCUGCGUCGGGCCCCCCUGGGCCCUGGAGGGCGCCCUGGGGCCUGGCACCGCAUCACGGGCUUCAAGGAAACGUGGACUCAGCUGAGUUUUCCAGGGAGGCCCUGGUCGCCCAAGUGCAUUUGAGUCUGGCGGCAAAGAUGUUCCCAGCUUCGCUUCCUUCUCUGUCCGGGAGGGAGGCUCUGCUCUCCACUCCCCUGGCCGGGCCGUGUUCCACGUGGGACCCGCCCCCCUAACCCACCAGUGCUAAAAACUGGCUGUGACGAAUUCCAUUCGGGUUUUCUUAGUAUGUGAGUAGCCUGGUUAGACUCGUCCCCAGAGAAACUUCUGGACUGCCACGCCCUUUGUAAAAUAGUCGAUGUACUUCCUCACGACUGGUCCUCAGGGCGCAGAGUUGACACGCGCCCUGACUCUGAGGCUGCUGCCUCCGCUUUUCCCACACCGGGAUCUUCAGUGGGUGGGGGGCUGAACCCACAGAGGGAGGCCCCGCCCCCUGGACUCAAAGCUUUAAGGCUUCAUCGACUGUUCUUAGAAUUAUUCACGUUCUUGUUAAGUCUGAAGAGACCGCAGAAAAACAUUAAAUAUUUAUAAGAAUCAUUAGGAAAUAAUUUCUGUAGGUUCUGCUGGGGACAUAGUUGGGUGUCGUGAAUCUCAGUGCAGAAAGGGCGUAAAUGAGUUAGCACGGGCCUCGGUUUCCCUCGCGGCUCACUGGGUCAUGGAGGAAGGGCGCGGAGUGUUUUCCCGUGCGUCACCCAGGGCACGCCCCGAUGCGUUGGUUCUGGUCACUUGGAGAGAGGUGGGGCGUGGCACCCGGGGCAGUGGGGGGGCCCUGGGACCCGAGACCUCCCUGGCGCCCUCGGUCUGGCCUGCCCACCCGACCGUUCCCUGCGCGGGCUGCCGGCGACUUUUGAUUCAAGAAGCUCCCUCCCAGGCCAGGCGGGAGCUGCUAUUUUUACUAAAUGCAAAUUGGUAAAUAAAGUAUUUUGCGC
This 10652-nucleotide long non-coding RNA is filed under the name Lynx pardinus (Iberian lynx). The record is from RNAcentral. Lineage: Eukaryota; Metazoa; Chordata; Mammalia; Carnivora; Felidae.